RNAcentral lists this transfer RNA (66 nucleotides) under Ocellarnaca sp. Its description in RNAcentral is "tRNA-Phe". The record is from RNAcentral. Lineage: Eukaryota; Metazoa; Arthropoda; Insecta; Orthoptera; Gryllacrididae.
AUUCAAAUAGCUUAAAUGAAGAGUGUGACAUUGAAGCUGUCAAGGAAAAUUAAUAUUUUUUGAAUA